RNAcentral lists this ribosomal RNA (835 nucleotides) under Flavobacterium ginsenosidimutans. Its description in RNAcentral is "bacterial SSU rRNA". It matches the Rfam family "Bacterial small subunit ribosomal RNA", at positions 98 to 926 of the family's 1533-position model. Lineage: Bacteria; Pseudomonadati; Bacteroidota; Flavobacteriia; Flavobacteriales; Flavobacteriaceae. The record is from RNAcentral.
GCGCACGGGUGCGUAACGCGUAUGCAAUCUGCCUUUCACAGAGGGAUAGCCCAGAGAAAUUUGGAUUAAUACCUCAUAGUAUUAUNGAGUGGCAUCACUUUAUAAUUAAAGUCACAACGGUGAAAGAUGAGCAUGCGUCCCAUUAGCUAGUUGGUAAGGUAACGGCUUACCAAGGCAACGAUGGGUAGGGGUCCUGAGAGGGAGAUCCCCCACACUGGUACUGAGACACGGACCAGACUCCUACGGGAGGCAGCAGUGAGGAAUAUUGGUCAAUGGGCGCAAGCCUGAACCAGCCAUGCCGCGUGCAGGAUGACGGUCCUAUGGAUUGUAAACUGCUUUUGUACGGGAAGAAACACUCCGACGUGUCGGAGCUUGACGGUACCGUAAGAAUAAGGAUCGGCUAACUCCGUGCCAGCAGCCGCGGUAAUACGGAGGAUCCAAGCGUUAUCCGGAAUCAUUGGGUUUAAAGGGUCCGUAGGCGGUCUGGUAAGUCAGUGGUGAAAGCCCAUCGCUCAACGGUGGAACGGCCAUUGAUACUGCUGGACUUGAAUUACUGGGAAGCAACUAGAAUAUGUAGUGUAGCGGUGAAAUGCUUAGAGAUUACAUGGAAUACCAAUUGCGAAGGCAGGUUGCUACCAGUGGAUUGACGCUGAUGGACGAAAGCGUGGGGUAGCGAACAGGAUUANAUACCCUGGUAGUCCACGCCGUAAACGAUGGNAUACUAGCUUGUUGGGAGCCAAUNUCAGUGGCUAAGCCAAAAGUGAUAAGUAAUCCCACCUGGGGGGAGUACCUUCGCAAGAAUGAAANUCAAAAGGAAAUUGACCGGGGGCCCCCC